UUCCUACGGGGGGCUGCAGUGGGGAAUUUUGCGCAAUGGGCGAAAGCCUGACGCAGCAACGCCGCGUGCGGGAUGAAGGCCUUCGGGUUGUAAACCGCUUUCAGCAGGGAUGAAACUGACAGUACCUGCAGAAGAAGCCCCGGCUAACUACGUGCCAGCAGCCGCGGUAAUACGUAGGGGGCGAGCGUUAUCCGGAUUCAUUGGGCGUAAAGAGCGCGUAGGCGGCUUGUUAAGCGAGAUGUGAAAACCGGGGGCUUAACCCGCGGCCUGCAUCUCGAACUGGCAGGCUUGAGUCUGGUAGAGGAGUGUGGAAUUCCCAGUGUAGCGGUGAAAUGCGCAGAUAUUGGGAGGAACACCAGUGGCGAAGGCGGCACUCUGGGCCACGACUGACGCUGAGGCGCGAAAGCUAGGGGAGCAAACAGGAUUAGAUACCCUAGUAGUCU
RNAcentral lists this ribosomal RNA (443 nucleotides) under uncultured bacterium. RNAcentral describes it as "bacterial SSU rRNA". It matches the Rfam family "Bacterial small subunit ribosomal RNA", at positions 336 to 796 of the family's 1533-position model. The record is from RNAcentral.